CCUACGGGAGGCAGCAGUGAGGAAUAUUGGUCAAUGGGCUUACGCCUGAACCAGCCAAGUCGCGUGAGGGAAGACUGCCCUAUGGGUUGUAAACCUCUUUUGUCAGGGAGCAACGCCCGCUACGUGUAGCCCUACUGAGAGUCCCUGAAGACAAAGCAUCGGCUAACUCCGUGCCAACAGCCGCGGUAAUACGGAGGAUGCGAGCGUUAUCCGGAUUUAUUGGGUUUAAGGGGUGCGUAGGUGGUUAAUUAAGUCAGCGGUGAAAGUUUGUGGCUCAACCAUAAAAUUGCCGUUGAAACUGGUAGACUUGAGUAUAGUUGAGGUAGGCGGAAUGCGUGGUGUAGCGGUGAAAUGCAUAGAUAUCACGCAGAACUCCGAUUGCGAAGGCAGCUUACUAAACUAUAACUGACACUGAAGCACGAAAGCGUGGGGAUCAAACAGGAUUAGAUACCCUGGUAGUC
RNAcentral lists this ribosomal RNA (461 nucleotides) under uncultured bacterium. RNAcentral's name for it is "partial 16S ribosomal RNA". It matches the Rfam family "Bacterial small subunit ribosomal RNA", at positions 338 to 795 of the family's 1533-position model. The record is from RNAcentral.